AUUUUAUCCAAGUGAUCUGCUCUUCCUCUCUAAUUUCUUUGCAUUUACAUUAUGAAAAGGAGACCUAAAUUCAUUUAAUAUGGUGUUAGCAUGACUGAUAUGCUUCCAUUUCUCAGAGUUCUCAUUAUUUAUCUCAAAAUUCAGGAAUUUCUCUUGUUCCCUGCUUUUACUGUUUACUUUUCUGCUAGUGCAACAUUCCCCACUACAGACAUCUACAGCUUUUGUAUUGGAAGGCUUCAUCUUCAAAGCAAAGGACAUGGUACAAAAAAUGGAAAAUUAACCAAAAAUAAAGAGGAAACAAUCAAAGCAACCAAAAUAACAAAAUUGUUGGAGCUACUGUCCUUAAAAUUCUAUAUGGAAUUCAAGGAAUGGUCCUUCAGUUGUGUACAGAGGAUAACAGGGGCUUCACUGAUACAUUCUUCAGUGAACCAAGAGAUUUUCAUACUACCUCAGGUGAACAAACCUUCAAAAAUCUACAUAUAUAAUACUAUUUUCUGUGUCCCCUUAUUAAGAAGGCUAAGUGCUAAGUGACUUGUGAAAGAU
Molecule: long non-coding RNA, 543 nt
Filed under: Pan paniscus (pygmy chimpanzee)
Lineage: Eukaryota; Metazoa; Chordata; Mammalia; Primates; Hominidae
Description: lncRNA (ENSPPAG00000045263.1)
Source: RNAcentral